UCUGGCCCCUCCGGGUCCGAGUUGUAAUUUGUAGAGGAUGCUUUUGGUGAGGUGCCGCCCGAGUUCCCUGGAACGGGACGCCACAGAGGGUGAGAGCCCCGUCUGGCUGGCCACCGAGCCUCUGUAAAGCUCCUUCGACGAGUCGAGUAGUUUGGGAAUGCUGCUCAAAAUGGGAGGUAUAUGUCUUCUAAAGCUAAAUAUUGGCCAGAGACCGAUAGCGCACAAGUAGAGUGAUCGANAGAUGAAAAGCACCUUGAAAAGAGGGUUAAACAGUACGUGAAAUUGUUGAAAGGGAAGCGCUUGUGACCAGACUUGGGCGCGGCGGAUCAUCCGGGGUUCUCUCCGGUGCACUUCGCCGCGUUCAGGCCAGCAUCAGUUCGUCGCGGGGGAAAAAGGCUUCGGGAACGUGGCUCCUCCGGGAGUGUUAUAGCCCGUUGCAUAAUACCCUGCGGUGGACUGAGGACCGCGCAUCUGCAAGGAUGCUGGCGUAAUGGUCACCAGCGACCCGUCUUGAAACACGGACCAAGGAGUCGUCUUCGUAUGCGAGUGUUCGGGUGUCAAACCCCUACGCGUAAUGAAAGUGAACGCAGGUGAGAGCUU
Molecule: ribosomal RNA, 600 nt
Filed under: Trichoderma hamatum
Lineage: Eukaryota; Fungi; Ascomycota; Sordariomycetes; Hypocreales; Hypocreaceae
Description: eukaryotic LSU rRNA
Rfam family: Eukaryotic large subunit ribosomal RNA
Source: RNAcentral